This 708-nucleotide ribosomal RNA is filed under the name uncultured bacterium. RNAcentral describes it as "bacterial SSU rRNA". It matches the Rfam family "Bacterial small subunit ribosomal RNA", at positions 111 to 835 of the family's 1533-position model. The record is from RNAcentral.
UAACGCGUAGGUAUCUAUCCAGGGGUGGGGGGACAACCGCGGGAAACUGCGGCUAAUACCGCAUGACGAGCCGGGCCGGGAGGUUUGGUUCCAAAGGCUGUGAGGUCGCCUGUGGAGGAGCCUGCGUACGAUUAGCUUGUUGGUGGGGUAACGGCCUACCAAGGCGAUGAUCGUUAGCUGGUCUGAGAGGAUGAUCAGCCACACUGGGACUGAGACACGGCCCAGACUCCUACGGGAGGCAGCAGUGGGGAAUAUUGGACAAUGGGCGCAAGCCUGAUCCAGCAAUGCCGCGUGUGUGAAGAAGGUCUUCGGAUUGUAAAGCACUUUCGGCGGGGACGAUGAUGACGGUACCCGCAGAAGAAGCCCCGGCUAACUUCGUGCCAGCAGCCGCGGUAAUACGAAGGGGGCUAGCGUUGCUCGGAAUGACUGGGCGUAAAGGGCGCGUAGGCGGUUUGUACAGUCAGGCGUGAAAUUCCUGGGCUCAACCUGGGGGCUGCGUUUGAUACGUAUGGACUGGAGUUCGGAAGAGGGUCGUGGAAUUCCCAGUGUAGAGGUGAAAUUCGUAGAUAUCGGGAGGAACACCUGUGGCGAAAGCGGCUCACUGGACCAUAACUGACGCUGAGGCGCGAAAGCUAGGGGAGCAAACAGGAUUAGAUACCCUGGUAGUCCUAGCCCUAAACGAUGAUCGCUUGGUGUGCCGUCAAUUCA